UACGGGGGGGGCAAGCGUUGUUCGGAAUUACUGGGCGUAAAGGGCUCGUAGGCGGCCAACUAAGUCGGCCGUGAAAUCCCUCGGCUUAACCGGGGAACUGCGUCCGAUACUGGAUGGCUUGAGUUCGGGAGAGGGAUGCGGAAUUCCAGGUGUAGCGGUGAAAUGCGUAGAUAUCUGGAGGAACACCGGUGGCGAAGGCGGCAUCCUGGACCGACACUGACGCUGAGGAGCGAAAGCCAGGGGAGCAAACGGG
This 253-nucleotide ribosomal RNA is filed under the name uncultured bacterium. RNAcentral describes it as "partial 16S ribosomal RNA". It matches the Rfam family "Bacterial small subunit ribosomal RNA", at positions 524 to 776 of the family's 1533-position model. The record is from RNAcentral.